This 253-nucleotide ribosomal RNA is filed under the name uncultured bacterium. RNAcentral's name for it is "partial 16S ribosomal RNA". It matches the Rfam family "Bacterial small subunit ribosomal RNA", at positions 524 to 776 of the family's 1533-position model. The record is from RNAcentral.
UACGUAGGGUGCGAGCGUUAAUCGGAAUUACUGGGCGUAAAGCGUGCGCAGGCGGUGAUGUAAGACAGGUGUGAAAUCCCCGGGCUUAACCUGGGAACUGCAUCCGAUACUGGAUGGCUUGAAUUCGGGAGAGGGAUGCAGAAUUCCAGGUGUAGCGGUGAAAUGCGUAGAUAUCUGGAGGAAUACCGGUGGCGAAGGCGGCAUCCUGGACCGACAUUGACGCUGAGGAGCGAAAGCCAGGGGAGCAAACGGG